UGACACUGCAGUGUCAUCUACCUGCUUCUUACUGCAUUAUUCGGCUUUGAUAUUAUUCCCUCCUCUGCCACUCAUUUUUGGAGCUCUCUGCUGCGUUUUUUAACCUCAAAAAGAGUCUGAAAAGGAAGGAGGACAUCACUUA
Non-coding RNA from Mesocricetus auratus (golden hamster), 142 nucleotides. NCBI's taxonomy places the organism in Eukaryota, Metazoa, Chordata, Mammalia, Rodentia, Cricetidae. The record is from Rfam.